AUAUUCAAGUAAAAAUCAUAACCAAUUAUAAUGUGUUUCCAAUAGCGUUUAAAUUAAAACUAAAUCAUAUUAUUUAUUUUUAUACCACUUUAUAAUGUAUAAUUUAUUUUUUACUUUCUACAUUUAUAUUUUUAUAUAAUAUUCACAAAUUGUAAGCAUGUAGGAUAACACAUUUUUAUAACUAACAUUUAUAAAUAACAGCGUUGCAAAAUAGGCAACCUCGCAUAAACGAAUAAAGAAUAAACAGCUCGUGUAAUGAGAUUUUUAUUUUUUUUUUGCUUUCUGAAGUUGCAAAAUAACAUAUUCUGACGGCUAAACACCUAAUUUAUUGAUCAUCUGUUGGAAACGACGAAAAAAAAUCAUUCAAUCUGUUAACAUUACUGCAACUCCAGCAAAUCUCCAGUAGAUGACAGACUCUGCCUUUCUCUGCUGUUCAUUUUAUACAGUUCAAAAAGGAGACGAGACAUUACGCAAAGAGUAUUCUGUUUUAUUCAAAUCUACAAGAGGGUUAUAUGCAAUUUAUUUACAUUUUUUUAUUAGCUAAAAUACAGGUCCAUUCUCAGCUACAUACAGCUUAUUAAAAAUAUAUAAAUGCAUGCUAGUUACAGGUAUUCUAUUUACAUUGUGCUGAAUUGUAUGUCCUGGCUAGAAUACAACUUCAUGUGUGUUUUACAUACAGAUGAGCUACACAGAACAUUGAAUUUCAGGAAAGAUUCAAACAUCAAAUCCCCAUCCAAAAAAGAAGCAGUGCAUUUGAAAAGAAAAUAGGAAAAUAUCAGCAUUUCAGAUUCUUUUGAGCCUUAAACUUAACAAAUAAUAAAAAAAAAGUCAGUAGUUGUGCAAUCUAGAUCUGUUUCUAAAGGACACUUUUAAUUGGAUUUCAAAUUAGUUUUAAUGUAUGCAUGUACUUCUUCAACAGCAAUGAUUUAGGUAUUGUGUUCACAUGAAACACUUCACAGCAUAGCAGAGACCAUAUUUACACUGUGUUACUGACCCAAAUUCACAACGUAUCCUUUUCAUAAAAAUAUGCAAUCAUUUUCUUUUCUUGAUCAAAUGUUUCCUGCUCAUAUUUUUCUCAUAAACUUCGGACACACAAAAAGUAACACUCUGCCAAAAGCAACCUGCUGCAUCCAGUCAAAAAAGAAGAAGAAAACAUCCAAUACGAAUGUGAUUUCAGUCCAGCACUGUAAAAGUGCUGUCAUAAAUAUACAAAUGCAAUGAAAUAUCCACAACUUUAAUACAAAAAAAAAUAAGUAGAUCGCCAGAGGGAUUUCGCCAAUGCUCAAAAAAGUUUCGAUCUAAACAAACAAUAAAAAAAUAUGGCUUAUCGCGUCUUAAAAAAAAGAGCUUUGUGUGAAUGCAGCAAGCAUCUUUUGAGACAGUUCUUGUGUACACAGAUAAUAGACCUGAAUUGUAACACAAAACUCUACUUUCAUUCAUAAGACUUUGCUAUGUACAGUACGCGCAUAAAAAAUGUUGCCUGCAUGGGAGUCUCAUGAACUUGGCUAAUGGAACAGAAUUAGAAGUUUUACACAAAAUUCAGCUAAAUAAGCGUAUUGUUAAUAAUGGAAACCUUCCAAUUUAUCCAGGUUUUAUCAACACAUACGUUAUGGUCCGAUUCAAUUCAGUAUUCACUGAAAUGUUAAGCUUUGUAAAAAAAAAAAAAAGGAAUAAUGGAAGGAGGUACUUUAUAAACUCCAAUAGCAGAUUAUGCCAUUAACAUGUUAGUUUCUCACCUCACACUGCUAACUGGAAUCAGGCUGAACAGAAAACAUGCAUCACUUCCAUACUUGCAUUCAGCAUAUUAAGUAUUUAAAACCUGAAAUUGUUCUCAUAUAGUUCUUUUCAUAUAGGACUCAAUCUGUAGACCUAAAACAGAUUAAAAUGAAUAGUUUACUCUAAAUCUGUUCCAAUGAAGAAACAAAUUCAUCUACGUCUCGAAUGGCUUGAGGGCCCUGCUGGUCAUUGACACAGGAGCUACAUAGGGCCUUUGAACUGGUUCCCAGAGAGAUGUUGGCGGAUGGAGGGUUUGGAUCCUGCCGCAUCACCGAGCUUACGCCACACAACCUGAACACACAAAGCAAACACACAGUCCUCCUCGUAGUCCUCUGGGAGCUUCCUGUCCAGGUUUUCGUGGACUUCUAAUACCUAUAAAGAAAAGGAACAGAGGGUAUCCGGUGACGGGGGACAGCAGAUCACCUCCUGGCAUCCGCGUAGAUCGCUGUAGACAGAUGGACACACAUUCGUCACAAUCAAAAAUCACUCAUACUGCUCUCUCAGUUUACCAGAGGAGAUCCGAGCACUGGAAAAGCCCAUGGCUGUUCCUCUGAGUCAACUCAGGCUUGAAAUGGGUUAAAGCAUCUCAUUAUAACUCAUCUCUGCUUGGACCCCCUUCAUGGGUACGCAUCAACAAAGAGUUCUUUCAGUGCACAGGGUCUGGUGAGCCCCUGUUUAGACACAGCCCUUUGAGUCCCAUUCUAGCGUUAAAUCCACAACAAUUGAGCUGGCAUUUCAACACCAGGGUCGGGAGAGGACCCCUGGAUGGAAACUGUGGCUCGCUUUUGGCCUGGGAGAACAGGACUGUGAUGUUCACUCGCAGUUGCCAGCAGGUUUAUAAAGGGCUAGAGCCGUGGGGAUUUUACCCUGGACUGACCCGAGUACAUCCUGAAACGAUGGCCGCUGUCAUGCAUCGCCCCGGCAGUCUGAUUAGAGAAGCCCACAAUUCAUUCUGCAUGGAUUCAUUUGCCAUGCAGCGCUCGAAUUACCUGGAUUAUUUUAAUAGCUAAUGCCAUCUAUUCAGGACCUUAAAAUUCUCAUAUGAUAAAGUUGUAGGAACUAUAUUGCAACAUGACAUUAAAUGUAAGCGAUUUAAUUCCCAUAAAAUGUAAUUGUAUAAAAUAUAAUGCAAAUUAAUACUAUUAAAUAAUAAUAAGAAAUUGUGAUGAGUGGGACAGGGCCGAGAGCCGUGGGAACGGAGCGAGGCUGGUGGAGUGAUUGAAGAUGAGUGACACCUGCACCACUCACCGGUCUCGAGUCCCACGGUGGAGCUCCGGAAGGAUAAAGGGAGGAGUAACGACAGUGAAGAACGAGAGAGGACCAGGCCUGGGUUUUAUUUUGUGUUUUGGUUUUGUUUGUGCUGUUUGGUGUCUGUUUUAUUAAUAAAGUUAUUGCUUGAAUGUU
Molecule: long non-coding RNA, 3180 nt
Organism: Carassius auratus (goldfish)
Lineage: Eukaryota; Metazoa; Chordata; Actinopteri; Cypriniformes; Cyprinidae
Exons: 4
Source: RefSeq, a predicted model, not a curated record